Molecule: long non-coding RNA, 1014 nt
Organism: Cajanus cajan (pigeon pea)
Lineage: Eukaryota; Viridiplantae; Streptophyta; Magnoliopsida; Fabales; Fabaceae
Source: RefSeq, a predicted model, not a curated record
CAAUGGGAGUGGUAGUAGGGUUUGGGUGUUGGGAAAGGAGAAAGUGUGGAGCGCUGGUUGGUUACAGCUACAGGUCGCGAGUUCCAACCACCUUAGGCGCCAUUCAAAUACUCUUCAAGUUGAAAGAGAUACCAUCGCAAACCAUCACCACCACUAAUCCUCAUUUUAUGCCUGGUCCUAUUCCACUCCCAGCAUCAUCUGGAUAAAACUUGUUGAAGAUUUGUUUCAAAUAUCGUCUUUUUGUCUGAGACAACUAGCUGGCAGAAAAAAAGAAGCAGAAGGAGCUACUACUGGAAACUGGAGCCAGUACUGUACCUUGCACCGUAUAUCACAAAACAAAAAAGACGAAGGAAAGGUGCCAAGGCCAAUUAUGUAAUGCAGAUAUUAAACUUUACAAUCAUUACUGCUGUGCACCAAACAACAUUUCAUAUGCAAACAAGUUAGGACUGGAUGGCUUUGGACCAGUUUAUAAGGGGGAACUUCCUGAUGGAAGAAAUAGCAAUAAAGAGACUUUCUAGUAGAUCGGGGCAAGAGUUGGUGGAGUUCAAAAAUGAGGCCGAACUUGUAGCAAAACUUCAGCAUACUAAUCUUGUAAGGCUUUUGGGGCUCUGCAUACAAAAUGAAGAAAAUAUAUUAGUCUAUGAGUAAAUGCCCAACAAUAGUUUAGACUUUCAUCUCUUUGGUAUGUAACCUUCAUGAGCAAGAUAAUCUCGUAAUUGUUUAUUUUUUAACUUGGUUUAUCCUUUGUUUCUUCCGAGGCUUGGUAAUUCAUGCUUACUCUGAAACAAAGUCUAAAGGAAGCGAAGCAAUAGUCUGAGAGAAAAGAUUCGACAUCAUUCAAGGUAUAACUCAUGGGUUGAUUUAUCUCCAUCACUUUUCAACAUAUUUGAUUAUGAAAUGAACCCAAAAAGUAGUUAUUUUGGCAUGGCAGUAAUAUUAGUUUCGGAAGUAGUAGAAGUGAAGAUUAAAAGAAUUGUUGGAAUAUAGUAGGUACAAAUCAGCACAAUUUCCCCA